GACGGAAGGUGCAAGCGUUGCUCGGAAUCACUGGGCGUAAAGGGUGCGUAGGCGGCUGUGCAAGUCUGGCGUGAAAGCCCCGGGCUCAGCCUGCGAAGUGCGCUCGAAACUGCGCAGCUCGAGUGCCGGAGGGGAGAGUGGAAUUCCUGGUGUAGCGGUGAAAUGCGUAGAUAUCAGGAGGAAUACCGGUGGCGAAAGCGACUCUCUGGACGGCAACUGACGCUGAGGCACGAAAGCGUGGGGAGCAAAUGGG
RNAcentral lists this ribosomal RNA (253 nucleotides) under uncultured bacterium. RNAcentral's name for it is "partial 16S ribosomal RNA". It matches the Rfam family "Bacterial small subunit ribosomal RNA", at positions 524 to 776 of the family's 1533-position model. The record is from RNAcentral.